UGGACGGUGGUGUUAGCUAAUGCACAUAGAUUCUAUCCUUGUUUGAUUUUCCUCUUUCUGAAUUAAUAUAGAUAAAACUAUUGUUUAUAAAUUGUUGACUUUCAUCCUUGUUCGACUAUCAUCUUGUUUGAGCCUAUAUAGAUAAAACAUAGAUUCUAUUUUUAUCCUUGUUUGACUAUCAUCUUUCUGAGUUUCUUUAGGAGAAUUAUUGUUUAUGCACUGUUGACUUUUCUUUGUUUUUGCAGAAACCGUGAAACCAAUUCCUCAGCAUUUGAUCACGUACAAGGUUUUCGGAAAUCCUGAAGGCCCUCAUUAUGCACAUUAUGACUUAGAUGGAGGGCGGAAAGCUGUCCAUGAAGUGUACCCGUGUAUGACAAAGUGUUUUCUUAAGUUCCUCUCUCAGCAUGACAAAGUGUUUUCUUAAGUUCUAUUAAUCAGACAAGUGGUUGUAAAUGGUCAACCCCUCAUUGAGACACGGUGAAAUCAUCAAAAUGGGAUGGAAAAGUGAGCAGUUGCAAAAUGAACGCUUGAAUAUGAAGAGCGGGCAUGAUUGGAUGGGGGAACGUGGGACAGAUGAAAUGUAUAAUUGCCCAAAGAAACUGACGUGAUACAGCGUCAGUGUGUUAGACCUUCUCCAAACUCUGCAUCCGCACCUUUUCUAGCGCUAUUGCUGUAUCCAUCUCCAACGAACGCCGUUUCUGCCCCUACAGUGAUGCGGAGGUUGCACUUUUGCCGGAUGGAGACUGCAUUUUUGCGGGAGAUGUUGAGCUGCUGUAUCAGGGGAAGAGAAGAGUAAUAAAAGGUAGAAAAUAGGGUAGCUGUUGGAGAUAAAAAAAAUAAAGGAUACUGUAAUAGUAUUAGUGGAUAUUACAAUAGUAUUAUAGGGGAUGAAUUUUUAGAGUAUUUGUUGGAGAUGACGAAACACAUACAGGAAACAAAUGGUUCAUUCUAAUUGCUACCGGAACCUUUUCGAAUUUACCCUAAGGAGUCGGAACCAAUA
Long non-coding RNA from Phragmites australis (common reed), 1000 nucleotides. RefSeq lists it as uncharacterized. NCBI's taxonomy places the organism in Eukaryota, Viridiplantae, Streptophyta, Magnoliopsida, Poales, Poaceae. The transcript is spliced from 3 exons. The record is from RefSeq and is a predicted model, not a curated record.